CGUAUUUGUAAUUCUUCAACAGCAGUGAAAGACACGACACAGCAAAGUGUAAGAAUCAGAAUGGAUGGUGCAUUCAGAAGAUGGAGGAAGAGGCAAAAAGGCCAACCUUUUUAUUUUAAACCCAAUCUUUUGGGUUUCCUCUCAUAAUCACAUCAAAAAUGUGUGAGAAUCAGAAAAAGGAGGGAACAAAAGGAAAACAGGAACCGAAUGAUAUCAUCUCCCCACCGUCACCGCUCAAAUUAGGUACAAAAGUUACUCUGUAUUCAAAGCAAUUCAAUUCCUUCUCUCAUUCUUUCCGUUGGCGGUCUUUCGAUGCGGUGGUAUAAUCCCGAAGCAAGGCAAGAAGUAGCUGUGUUUGGAGAUACUGUUGCUCAAACAUGUGUCGCAAUAAACUGCACCCACUACCGAGAUUCGAGUGACCGACGCUGGGGUUUCAGCUGUAAGGCCAAACAAGUUAGCGAAGAAAGAUAGUAAAAAAAGGAGGAGAGAAAUGGUUGGAUCCAUAAGAAAGACUGAAGGAGGGAGGAGGUUGAGCAUCAAUGGGUAAGUCCUUAAAAUUUUGAAGCGUUUGUUUGCUAUAUACUGUUUGCAUAUAAUGUGCCCGUGAGUUCUUGGUGUUAGACCAACUGUAAUGAGAAAAGAGAAAAUGAUUAUUGUAUUCACUACAAACAAAGACAUGUGAAGAAGGUUUUUGGCUGAAUGUGGGGGCAAGCGUAAAAUGAAAGGGGUUUGUAGUUUAAGUCUUUUUAGGCAGAUUCGGAGAUAAAUGGGAUUGAUUAAAAGGGUGUUUGAUUUCCUAGAUCUGGAAAGAUGUUAUGAACAAGCCUUUCUUGUUUCUACCGACUGUCCAAUAAAUGGAACUUCCAUUGUCUUUAGCACCCAAGAAAGGCCGUGAAAAAAGAAGAAGAAAUGUGGAGCCUUGUUAGGCAAUUUCAUAGACUUCAUUAGGAACAGCAGUGAAUAAAAUAAAAGCUCCGGUUGAUUAGGAAAAGGAUUCUUUUAAGCCUAAUCCUCCACCCUUCUAGACAGUCUUGUUUUUUGCAUGGGUGCCACGGCGUCUAGACUACUAUAUAUUAUCCUUUUUUUUUUUUCUUUUUUUCUUUUUUGUUCUUUUCCCAUUCCAUUUGAUUAUUCUAAAUCCGUGUAUACGAAGCUAAGAAGAUCUUAAUAUCGAUGCUUGUAAUAAUUAACAAAUAUGGCAUGUAACUCUAAUGUGAACUUAUAUGUUUAGGCUACAUGUACCAAAUUUGAGUUUAAAACUAGGGACUUAAGAUUUACCAUUUUGAUUUCUUUUUAUGAGAAAUGAGGAAAACAUAUUAAACUAAACGGGAGAACGCAGCCUAGAGGCCGUAGGGAAUAGAAGGUUAUCACAGAACAACCUCUCAGCUCAAAUAAAUUUGAAGUUUUUUGGGAUUGGGAUGUUCCUAUGAGCCAAUGACCCAAACAACUUGAUGAUUCAACCUGAAAAUAGAUGGUUGGGUUGGAUUGGAUCGUGAUACCUAGUCGAGUCAUUCGAGUUAUCAACUCAACAAACCCAAAAUUAUGGGGUGGUCCAAAAAUUUUCUCCCACCCAACCUUAUUCCACCGGUAACUAGAGAUUUAUGUUAAAUGUAAUAUGCAAUAUGAAUUGAAAUGUUGAAUGAGGUAAGUUAUAUGUGUACAUGUAUGAAAGCUGUGUAUUUAAUGGGUUAGAUAGAAUCAUAUACGGAUAUUGAAAAGUGAUUCCUAUUUGUGAGCAGUUGAAAGUUACUAUUUUACUGCCUGAUACAAUGAUGGAUGUUUUCCAACUA
Long non-coding RNA from Cucurbita pepo subsp. pepo (vegetable marrow), 1790 nucleotides. RefSeq lists it as uncharacterized. The record is from RefSeq and is a predicted model, not a curated record. NCBI's taxonomy places the organism in Eukaryota, Viridiplantae, Streptophyta, Magnoliopsida, Cucurbitales, Cucurbitaceae.